RNAcentral lists this ribosomal RNA (325 nucleotides) under uncultured bacterium. RNAcentral describes it as "bacterial SSU rRNA". It matches the Rfam family "Bacterial small subunit ribosomal RNA", at positions 28 to 334 of the family's 1533-position model. The record is from RNAcentral.
GACGAACGCUGGCGGCGCGCCUAACACAUGCAAGUCGAACGGGACUAUACGAGAUGAAGUUUUCGGAUGGAAUUUUGUAUAGUUUAGUGGCGGACGGGUGAGUAACACGUGAGCAACCUGCCUUCGAGAGGGGAAUAACGGCUGGAAACGGUCGCUAAUACCGCAUAACAUACGAGAGGGACAUCCCUUUUGUAUCAAAGAUUUAUCGCUCGAAGAUGGGCUCGCGUCCGAUUAGGUAGUUGGUGAGGUAACGGCCCACCAAGCCGACGAUCGGUAGCCGGACUGAGAGGUUGAACGGCCACAUUGGGACUGAGACACGGCCCAG